GACGAACGCUGGCGGCGUGCCUAACACAUGCAAGUCGAACGGAAAGGCCCUGCUUUUGUGGGGUGCUCGAGUGGCGAACGGGUGAGUAACACGUGAGUAACCUGCCCUUGACUUUGGGAUAACUUCAGGAAACUGGGGCUAAUACCGGAUAGGAGCUCCUGCUGCAUGGUGGGGGUUGGAAAGUUUCGGCGGUUGGGGAUGGACUCGCGGCUUAUCAGCUUGUUGGUGGGGUAGUGGCUUACCAAGGCUUUGACGGGUAGCCGGCCUGAGAGGGUGACCGGCCACAUUGGGACUGAGAUACGGCCCAGACUCCUACGGAAGGCAGCAGUGGGGAAUAUUGCACAAUGGGCGGAAGCCUGAUGCAGCAACGCCGCGUGCGGGAUGACGGCCUUCGGGUUGUAAACCGCUUUCGCCUGUGACGAAGCGUGAGUGACGGUAAUGGGUAAAGAAGCACCGGCUAACUACGUG
This 468-nucleotide ribosomal RNA is filed under the name uncultured bacterium. RNAcentral describes it as "partial 16S ribosomal RNA". It matches the Rfam family "Bacterial small subunit ribosomal RNA", at positions 28 to 507 of the family's 1533-position model. The record is from RNAcentral.